This 1597-nucleotide long non-coding RNA is filed under the name Daphnia pulicaria. RNAcentral's name for it is "uncharacterized LOC124328619, transcript variant X2". Lineage: Eukaryota; Metazoa; Arthropoda; Branchiopoda; Diplostraca; Daphniidae. The record is from RNAcentral.
CCCACGCAUAUUCGUAUCGUACAGCGGCGGUACAGUCAUGUUGGAACCACUGUCUGUGUUGGAACUUUGAAUACGUGCUGUCAAUAUGAUGCUGUUUACCAUUGAUGAUGUUCGAUUACUAGUGAAGGCAAAUGGAUGAGAAGAAAGAGGCUUGAAGUUAUCUGCAAGCCCAGGCCAGCAAAAUGACGUAAGAAAUGGAGAACCUGUAGAUGCAGGGUGUUGGCGGACCCAAGACCACUGGUGCUGGACCACCCAGACGAAGAACAGACACUUCCAACAUUCCCUCACCUCAUCCCGUGCUUCUAGUCGGAGAUCCAAGCCAAAGAAUCGAUCCACGGGAAGUGUUCACUCAGAUUCAAUUUAAUCGCCUUGCAAAAGACCUUCAUCAAAUUUCGAAACUAGAACGCUAUUUUGUUAUCGGAAGAGACAGAGGUAUCCUACCGAAUCAAAUUCUUACCAGUGUGGACUGAGUUUGCCCUCCAGUCAAACUGAUUGAAGAAAAUUCGCCGCAGCCGCAAACCUCUUGUGGUUAUUCCAUGAAAAUUGAUUUGGAAUUCGAUCAAGUGCUGCCGAAUUUGGAUCGUGGAUCGCAUCAUUCCUUUGGCUGAAGAAGAUCUCUGUUUUCUCAGAUGACCCGGUCCGCUCACAACUUACAUAUCUGGUCCAGGAUCAACUCGGUUAUUCACUCCCGCCAUUUGGGGACUCUUUGGCCGGAUUUUCCGAUCUCGUACCUGUCUCGUACCAAAUGAAGUUGUUGUUCAUUAUUCGAAAUCGGAAACCACCACAGUUCCAGUGAUCGAUCUUCGUCUUAUUAGGGAGUGCCUAGCGUCGCAAUUCCGACAUAAGCGUAAGGCGGUUGUGGCGAAGCCACUGCACAACAUGUGCACAAGUAACAAUGGUUCUAUGCAGAAAUUCUGACAAGAGCUUUUUGACGGAUUGGACAUAGAAAAGAUUCCGUUGAGGAUUCUAGACAAAGAUUUGUGUGGGGGGGGGGGGAGUCAUGUUUUGAAGAUAAGAAAAACUAGUCUGAGCUUUCUUUUCUUUUUGUUUCGAUUGAUAUUCUAUUUCUCUUUGCUCGUUGUACAUCAGUGUGCCUUUUUGUUGGGCAGGGUGGCAGAUAUGUUUUGAUGUGAAAGGCAAACAGAAAAUUAUUUGGUUAUCUAAUGACUAAUAGUUUGGAGCAGAAAACAAAACGAAAAUUGCAAAACGAUGAACAAUUCAUUACUUGACGAGAAGACACCUGGGAUUGGGUUUUUGAUGCGAGGGAUUUUUUUUCCGAUUACCUUUUUCUCUUGAAUCGGGAAAUUCAAUCUGGGAGUACGGACCAUUUUUCAAUUUCUUAAAUUCACAUGCGAAAUUGUUCAUUUUUGUUUGAACUCCUCCCCCCCCCUUUGUUAGGUAAAUGGUGCAUUGCGAAUAUGUUAUGAAUAGAUUUCGAAUUUUCAUUCAUUCUAAAAAUGGAAAGUGAUGAAUGUGUGCAAAAAAUGUUAUCAUAGGGAAUGUAUGCGCUCUUCACAUCGAACCGUCUCUUUUUCGUUUUCUUUCUCCUUUGAUCGUAUUGUCUCAUUCUUUUCAAAUUAGACGACAAUUCUUUGUA